This 245-nucleotide long non-coding RNA is filed under the name Setaria italica (foxtail millet). RNAcentral describes it as "long non-coding RNA (SITA_LNC003067)". Lineage: Eukaryota; Viridiplantae; Streptophyta; Magnoliopsida; Poales; Poaceae. The record is from RNAcentral.
AGCGAUGUCCUUGUCAUCGGAUUAGACAUGGUUGGAAUGAAAAAUUGUUUCAUAAACAAGUUCAUCUUUUCUUUGCACCUCUCUUGAUCUUCAUGACAGUAAAAACUCCUCCUUUAUUUCUUUUUCUUUUUCUUCUAUUAUUUCUUUUUCUCUUUCUCAAUACUUUUCUUUCUUUCCUUCUUUCUUUCUUUCUUUCUUUCUUUCUUUCUUUCUUUCUUUCUUUCUUUUUUCUUAAUCUCUUCUCU